AUUGAACGCUGGCGGCAGGCUUAACACAUGCAAGUCGAGCGGGGGAAGGUAGCUUGCUACCGGACCUAGCGGCGGACGGGUGAGUAAUGCUUAGGAAUCUGCCUAUUAGUGGGGGACAACAUCUCGAAAGGGAUGCUAAUACCGCAUACGUCCUACGGGAGAAAGCAGGGGAUCUUCGGACCUUGCGCUAAUAGAUGAGCCUAAGUCGGAUCAGGUAGUUGGUGGGGUAAAGGCCUACCAAGGCUACGAUCUGUAGCGGGUCUGAGAGGAUGCUCCGCCACACUGGGACUGAGACACGGCCCAGACUCCUACGGGAGGCAGCAGUGGGGAAUAUUGGACAAUGGGGGGAACCCUGAUCCAGCCAUGCCGCGUGUGUGAAGAAGGCCUUAUGGUUGUAAAGCACUUUAAGCGAGGAGGAGGCUACUUUAGUUAAUACCUAGAGAUAGUGGACGUUACUCGCAGAAUAAGCACCGGCUAACUCUGUGCCAGCCGCCGCCGUAA
Molecule: ribosomal RNA, 501 nt
Filed under: uncultured bacterium
Lineage: Bacteria
Description: partial 16S ribosomal RNA
Rfam family: Bacterial small subunit ribosomal RNA
Source: RNAcentral